AUUGAACGCUGGCGGCAUGCCUUACACAUGCAAGUCGAACGGCAGCACGGGAGCAAUCCUGGUGGCGAGUGGCGCACGGGUGAGUAAUACAUCGGAACGUGCCCAGCAGUGGGGGAUAAUCCGGCGAAAGCCGGACUAAUACCGCAUACGACCUACGGGUGCAAGAGGGGGAUCGCAAGACCUCGCGCUAUCGGAGCGGCCGAUGUCAGAUUAGCUAGUUGGUGGGGUAAAGGCCUACCAAGGCGACUAUCUGUAGCUGGUCUGAGAGGACGACCAGCCACACUGGGACUGAGACACGGCCCAGACUCCUACGGGAGGCAGCAGUGGGGAAUUUUGGACAAUGGGCGCAAGCCUGAUCCAGCCAUGCCGCGUGCGGGAAGAAGGCCUUCGGGUUGUAAACCGCUUUUGUCAGGGAAGAAACGCUCCGGGCUAAUACCACGGAGUAAUGACGGUACCUGAAGAAUAAGCACCGGCUAACUACGUG
This 484-nucleotide ribosomal RNA is filed under the name uncultured bacterium. RNAcentral describes it as "partial 16S ribosomal RNA". It matches the Rfam family "Bacterial small subunit ribosomal RNA", at positions 29 to 507 of the family's 1533-position model. The record is from RNAcentral.